Molecule: ribosomal RNA, 253 nt
Filed under: uncultured bacterium
Lineage: Bacteria
Description: partial 16S ribosomal RNA
Rfam family: Bacterial small subunit ribosomal RNA
Source: RNAcentral
GACAGAGGGGGCAAGCGUUGUCCGGAAUCACUGGGCGUAAAGGGUGCGUAGGCGGGUCUUUAAGUCAGGGGUGAAAUCCUGGAGCUCAACUCCAGAACUGCCUUUGAUACUGAGGAUCUUGAGUUCGGGAGAGGUGAGUGGAACUGCGAGUGUAGAGGUGAAAUUCGUAGAUAUUCGCAAGAACACCAGUGGCGAAGGCGGCUCACUGGCCCGAUACUGACGCUGAGGCACGAAAGCGUGGGGAGCAAACAGG